RNAcentral lists this ribosomal RNA (253 nucleotides) under uncultured bacterium. RNAcentral describes it as "partial 16S ribosomal RNA". It matches the Rfam family "Bacterial small subunit ribosomal RNA", at positions 524 to 776 of the family's 1533-position model. The record is from RNAcentral.
UACGUACCGUCCAAACGUUAUUCGGAAUUACUGGGCUUAAAGGGUACGUAGGCGGCGCUGUCAGUCGGGUGUGAAAGCCCUCGGCUCAACCGAGGAAUUGCGCCCGAUACUGCAGUGCUUGAGGGAGACAGAGGUAAGCGGAACUGAUGGUGGAGCGGUGAAAUGCGUUGAUAUCAUCAGGAACACCAGUGGCGAAAGCGGCUUACUGGGUCUCUACUGACGCUGAGGUACGAAAGCUAGGGGAGCGAAGGGG